This 92-nucleotide microRNA precursor is filed under the name Marmota monax (woodchuck). Lineage: Eukaryota; Metazoa; Chordata; Mammalia; Rodentia; Sciuridae. The record is from RNAcentral.
AGUACAAUUGUUGGGUCAUGUGGUAAUACCUUUUGAGGAACUGACAGAUUGUUGUCCACAGUGGCUGCACCAUUUUACAUCCCACCAGCAGU